RNAcentral lists this ribosomal RNA (436 nucleotides) under uncultured bacterium. RNAcentral describes it as "partial 16S ribosomal RNA". It matches the Rfam family "Bacterial small subunit ribosomal RNA", at positions 342 to 795 of the family's 1533-position model. The record is from RNAcentral.
CCGGUGGCUGCAGUGGGGAAUAUUGCACAAUGGGGGAAACCCUGAUGCAGCAACGCCGCGUGAGUGAAGAAGUAUUUCGGUAUGUAAAGCUCUAUCAGCAGGGAAGAGAAUGACGGUACCUGACUAAGAAGCCCCGGCUAACUACGUGCCAGCAGCCGCGGUAAUACGUAGGGGGCGAGCGUUAUCCGGAUUUACUGGGUGUAAAGGGAGCGUAGACGGUUCUGCAAGUCUGAAGUGAAAGCCCGUGGCUUAACCGCGGAACGGCUUUGGAAACUGUGGAACUGGAGUGCUGGAGAGGCAAGCGGAAUUCCUAGUGUAGCGGUGAAAUGCGUAGAUAUUAGGAGGAACACCAGUGGCGAAGGCGGCUUGCUGGACAGUAACUGACGUUGAGGCUCGAAAGCGUGGGGAGCAAACAGGAUUAGAUACCCCAGUAGUC